CCUACGGGUGGCAGCAGUGAGGAAUAUUGGUCAAUGGGCGAGAGCCUGAACCAGCCAAGUCGCGUGAAGGAUGACGGCCCUACGGGUUGUAAACUUCUUUUGUCAGGGAGCAAUUGAGUCCACGUGUGGUCUUAGCGAGAGUCCCUGCAGAAAAAGCAUCGGCUAACUCCGUGCCAGCAGCCGCGGUAAUACGGAGGAUGCGAGCGUUAUCCGGAUUUAUUGGGUUUAAGGGGUGCGAAGGCGGAAUAUCAAGUCAGCGGUAAAAAUUCGGGGCUCACACCCGGCGUGCCGUUGAAACUGGUGUUCUUGAGUGGGCGAGAAGUAUGCGGAAUGCGUGGUGUAGCGGUGAAAUGCUUAGAGAUCAUACAGAACACCGAUUGCGAAGGCAGCUUACCAAUCUAUAUCUGACGUUGAGGCACGAAAGCGUGGGGAGCAAACAGGAUUAGAUACCCCAGUAGUC
Molecule: ribosomal RNA, 460 nt
Filed under: uncultured bacterium
Lineage: Bacteria
Description: partial 16S ribosomal RNA
Rfam family: Bacterial small subunit ribosomal RNA
Source: RNAcentral